UCCAUAAUUCCAGCCGUGUGUUUGUUUAUGUUAGGAUAGCCCCUUCAUUAGCUAGUCUAGGAGGGGUCGUCCCUGCAGGUGGCUGGCUGCUCCAUCUCCAGCCCACACCCCAGGGCUCACAUCCAGCAAUAAAUGAGCUGGUUCUGGGACCGCCCACACCAGUCUUAGGACUCUGAUUGGACCCACACAGGUCACGUGCACAUCGUGAACCAAUCGCUGUUGAGCUCAGUGGCUCAGGGUUCUGACUGGCCCUGCCAGGAAACCUACCUAACAAUCAGCGGCCAUUAGUGCAGAGGGGCAAGACUGGCGCCACGAGGUGGGGACGCUUCUGUUGGCUCCCUCGACUGUUCUGGAAACUGGGAGGUCGCAGAGGGGCCACCCCUUCCUGAUACCCACAAGGAAACACUGUCGCUUCUCAUUCCACAAGUGCCCUAGAGCCUGUGUAGCAGCCCAAGCCCUGGGCAGAACUAUGGGAACAGAACUGUGGGACCGAGACCGUGGGAACAAGACUGUGGGAACGGGACCGUGGGAACGGGGCCGUGGGAACGGGGCCGUGGGAACAGGACCGUGGGAACGGGGCCGUGGGAACAGGACUGGCCGCAGGGCUGGACUCCCAGCUGAGACCCCACUCAGAGAUGCACCUGGCCUCCUGUGUGGGGAGGCGGGCUCAGCCCAGUGGGAGUCAGGGUCUCGGACGCCCUGUUCUUGGGUCCUGUCUGUGAAUUCUAGGGACUCAAGUUCAACGUGCUCUGUUGUCCUGAAGGGAUUUCCUGCUGUGACUCCCAAAAUGGGUGGUGGGUUUUACCUGCGUGAUUCCAGAGGUUGUGUUACUGCAUCCCAAGGCGCUGCGUAUGUCUCCUGGAUCUGAUUUGCUUCUCAUUUGUCUGUGCCCUGGCUCUGGCUACUGAGGACUCCAGUAGCUGAGUCACAGAUGCAGGGAAGCUCAGGCCAAGAAUGGAGCCAUUUUCCAGUGUCACCCUCACUCUCAGGAAAGGAUGUGGAGCUCCAGAGAAUGGUGGUGGCAGCCAGGAAUGUACAAAGCAGGAUCAGGCCUGAGUCGCUGUGACCUACCACUUCUCCUCUGAGAAAGGACUCUGGCAUACCUGAAAUGGAGGCAUGUUCUCCAUGGCUUCAAAUAUCAUCCACCAGCCCUUCUGUUCAGAGCUGCAAUCUGAAGACCCCUUCACCAGGGACCUGGCUGCAGCCUGCUCUGAAUGAGGAGAGGAGCAGUGGGCACUCUACAGUGAAUCACCGUGAUAAGAAAAUACAAGGCAUCUUUUGAAGAUGCCUUGGAGCCUCCUCUGUGUCUUUGAAAGUCUUUUGUUGGGGUCCAAAGUGGCUCCCGCCGGAGGUCAUGGCACUUGCGAAGGCGAGGUCAUCAGUUCAAGACUAACCUGAGCAACCUCAUAAGCUCAAACUGAUUGGCAAAAAAAAUAA
This is a non-coding RNA of Callithrix jacchus (white-tufted-ear marmoset), 1437 nucleotides long. NCBI's taxonomy places the organism in Eukaryota, Metazoa, Chordata, Mammalia, Primates, Cebidae. The record is from RefSeq and is a predicted model, not a curated record.